Molecule: ribosomal RNA, 493 nt
Filed under: uncultured bacterium
Lineage: Bacteria
Description: bacterial SSU rRNA
Rfam family: Bacterial small subunit ribosomal RNA
Source: RNAcentral
GAUGAACGCUAGCUACAGGCUUAACACAUGCAAGUCGAGGGGAAACGACAUCGAAAGCUUGCUUUUGAUGGGCGUCGACCGGCGCACGGGUGAGUAACGCGUAUCCAACCUGCCCACCACUUGGGGAUAACCUUGCGAAAGUAAGACUAAUACCCAAUGAUAUCUCUAGAAGACAUCUGAAAGAGAUUAAAGAUUUAUCGGUGAUGGAUGGGGAUGCGUCUGAUUAGGUUGUUGGCGGGGUAACGGCCCACCAAGCCUACGAUCAGUAGGGGUUCUGAGAGGAAGGUCCCCCCACAUUGGAACUGAGACACGGUCCAAACUCCUACGGGAGGCAGCAGUGAGGAAUAUUGGUCAAUGGACGGGAGUCUGAACCAGCCAAGUAGCGUGCAGGAUGACGGCCCUAUGGGUUGUAAACUGCUUUUGUGCGGGGAUAAAGUGUGGGACGUGUCCCAUAUUGCAGGUACCGCAUGAAUAAGGACCGGCUAAUUCCGUG